Rosa rugosa (rugosa rose) is the source of this 2033-nucleotide long non-coding RNA. RefSeq lists it as uncharacterized. The record is from RefSeq and is a predicted model, not a curated record. The transcript is spliced from 5 exons. Lineage: Eukaryota; Viridiplantae; Streptophyta; Magnoliopsida; Rosales; Rosaceae.
GCUCAAAUUCCCGAGUAAUUUUAUACUCUCGUUAAAUGGGAAUUGAGCGUAGACAUCAAUUUGUUUUCAGUGAUUUUGAAAAGUAAGCUAUUAUUGCAUGGUUGCAACAAAGUUACUAUUUAGCAAGUUGCUAAUCGAAAAGAAGCAUGAUUCACGGAAUAAAGUGUAUCCUAUGGAACGUAUGAUAGGAACACUUACUGAAUUGAUAAAGAUAGCUCCGGAAUGGGGAUAUGAAAUUAAUGGAAGCACGAAUUGUGAAAGUUUUACGAAUGUCAUUGUGUUGUGUAAGAUAAUGUGUGACGGGGCAUUCCACGCGAAUUGUUUACAAGUAAUGCUUGAGGAUUCUUACACUAAAAUGUUGGUCAUUUAGUUGUGGAAAUGAGGUCGACGAGUGGAUUUGCCACUGCUUUGCAGUAUGUGGUUAUUGAGAUUAGUGGGUGACUAAGUGUUAGUCCCCGAUUUGUUAUAAGACUCUUUGAAUUAUUCGGAAAGGCUAAAAUUAUAAUGUCUUUGUAUAUGGCAUUGAGCUCAGAGGAGUUGGAUGAGACAAUGAAAUCAAAUGUUUGCACAUACACACACAAUGUGAUAGAGGAAAAGUGCAAUUUGCGAAAAACAAAUGGUUAUAGAGUUUGAUGAGGUCGUCCCCAUAAGUGGAAUAAGAUGUACCAUGUGAAUGGUAAAGGUUCAAAAAGUAUCAGAGGAAGGUAAAACAAUGUCUUGUGCAAACUCGAGCCCGAGGUGAAAAGAAGUAACCUCUCUCAUUCAUACAUUGGGUAAAUUUCGAGGACGAAAUUUAUUUUAAGGGGGGUAGAGUGUGAGCCCCCGAAAAUUUUGUUUAAUUUUUAGAAUGUAAUUUUUCGCCAAUAAGAUUUUCGCAAGGUGAUUUAAGUGAAGAAAUCGAUUUUGGAAAUUGUUUUGGUGUCGAGACCACCUACUGGGCCGACAAUUUAAGUUUGGGCCAAAGUCCUUUCAUUUGGGCCUGGAAGGUACUAAAGUUCAUUGCAGCAAAAAGAUCGCCGAAGCAAAUUUGAAAGGAGAACAUUUUAACUUCGUAUUUUUUUCUUGUUAUUUUAAUUUGUCGCAUAACGUAUGAAAUUACGUAUUCGUAAUGUACGAAUGUAUUCGAGAUUAGAUUAAAAUUAUGAGGCCAUUAAAAGGAUUAAGAAAUUAGAAAAAAAAUCCAAUUUGGGUCUAGAAAAGUAUUUUUAAAGUAUUGAGGCUUAGGACAAGCCCGGAAAAUUUUCCCGAAAGGAUUCGGUGAAGUGUCGGAGAAAUAAGGAUGUUUGGAGAUGUAAUUUUCGGAUUGGGCUUGAGGAAAUUAAGAGAAAAAGAAAGUUGGAGCAGCCCAAGCCCACUUGGCCCAAAAGGAGGGGCAGAUUCGACUUUUCACAAUUAAAUUUGGGAGAGGUAUUUAAGGAACACAUCCCUCACAAACCCUAGCCACUUCCCUCAUUUUCUCCAUCAGCUUUCUCUCUCUACCGAGAGCCUCUCUCUCUACCCGGUUGCCGGAAAUCGCCGCCGCCGCCGUCGCUGCCGCACCGCCGCCGGCCGCCGCCGUCGCCGGAAUACGGAUUUCAACCAAAAUUUCCAGAUUUUCUCCUCUUCCUUCCCUCUUUCCAUUUCUCCAACCAAAAUCAUGAAAUUUAGCCAUUUAAUCCCCCAAAAACCCUAGAACCCGAAGCUAAAAUUGGGGCUUUUGUGAUUUCUUCUUUCCAAGCUCAAAUCAAGGCUACGGGUUUGGCAAGGAUUUUUGGUGAAGAAGGCCAAGGAGAAGGUAUAUGACGUGAUUUUUGAAGGAGAAAGGGACCCGAGCGGGUGCACUUGGAUUUGGAUAAAGGAUCGAAAGUCGGGAACGAACCCGAAUGUGGGCAAGCACUCCAUUUCCAGUGUGCAGGUUUCGAGCAUGUGGUCGGGAAGCGUACAGGGGAGGCACAUGGCACGGCUUGGCGCAUUUCUCUUUAGUUUUAUCAAAAGAAGGUUUUGGUCCUUAAUCGGAUUUUGUAGUAGCUUGUUUAUUUACUUUUUAUUUAUUU